UACGAAGGGUGCAAGCGUUGUUCGGAAUUAUUGGGCGUAAAGGGUUCGUAGGUUGGAAGGUAAGUCGAGUGUGAAAUCCCUGAGCUUAACUCAGGACGUGCACCCGAAACUGCUUUUCUUGAAUGUUAGAGAGGGUCGUAGAAUUGCUGGUGUAGGAGUGAAAUCCGUAGAUAUCAGCAGGAAUACCAGAGGCGAAGGCGGCGACCUGGCUAAACAUUGACACUGAGGAACGAAAGCGUGGGGAGCAAACAGG
Molecule: ribosomal RNA, 253 nt
Filed under: uncultured bacterium
Lineage: Bacteria
Description: partial 16S ribosomal RNA
Rfam family: Bacterial small subunit ribosomal RNA
Source: RNAcentral